GGCAUUUUUUUUCUAAUCUGAUAUUUUAUAAUCUAAUACAUUGAAAAUCACUGCUGCUUAAAAAUUUCAUUUUCUUCUGCCAUUAGAGAAUAUUUCCUUAGUUACACUUAUAAUCUAUAAUGGAGCUUAUUGCUGAAGAUAUUUGAGUAUUCCUCUUAACUCAUUCAUUUUUCUCUCUGCUAUAUGUCUUAGAACUUAUUCAGCAAGUAUGCUGGUCAUAGGACUACCUGUUGGUACUCUCUUGGGUGUGUAUAGAAUUUACCUUCAAAUUAAGAAUAUGAUUUGUAAUGCAUAGUAUUGGCUAGGUUCCUAAAGCUUUUUGCUGUAUCUUUUUUCUAACAGAAAUCUGUAAAAUAGGAGGCAUACUGGAGGGAAGUUUAGAGAUGGGUAUAAGCUCUGAAAAUCCAUUGUUAUCAUUACUUGUCCUGUUUCUGUUUUUACUUUGCAAUUUUCUUACAAAUUCUUAAAGAUGAUUGAACAAUGCUGUCAUAAUAUUUCAUAUUUCUCAUGCACCAUUUGGCUGCAGAUUUCUCUAUGUUAUAUAGAGGUGAUUGUCUCUUUUCUACAAUUGUGCAUAUUUUAUAUGAUUUCUUAUGUGUUUUUAAAUAUCCAAAUAACCUGGGACAUACUGGAUUGCUAACUUUUCUAACCAAACAUCCUAAUAAGCACAGGCUCCCCUGGUGGUUGAAUUUUGUAUUGACUGCCAAUUAAUGGUUGUUUUUGGUUUUAUACUAUGGU
RNAcentral lists this long non-coding RNA (738 nucleotides) under Androctonus crassicauda. The record is from RNAcentral. Lineage: Eukaryota; Metazoa; Arthropoda; Arachnida; Scorpiones; Buthidae.